CGGUUGAUCCUGCCGGAGGUCACUGCUAUUGGGAUUCGAUUAAGCCAUGCGAGUCGAGAGGGUUCGGCCCUCGGCUGACGGCUCAGUAACACGUGGAUAAUCUGCCCUUAGGUGGAGGAUAACCUCGGGAAACUGAGAACAAUACUCCAUAGGUCUAGGAUGCUGGAAUGUACUUAGACUGAAAACUACGGUGCCUAAGGAUGAAUCUGCGGACUAUCAGGUUGUAGUCAGGGUAAAGACCUGACUAGCCUACGACGGAUACGGGUUGUGGGAGCAAUAACCCGGAGAUGAUAUCUGAGACACGAUAUCAGGCCCUACGGGGCGCAGCAGGCGCGAAAACUUCACACUGUGCGAAAGCACGAUGAGGGAAUCCCAAGUGCUUGCACGUAAGUGUAAGCUGUUUCUCUGUCUAAAAAGCAGAGAGAGUAAGGGCUGGGUAAGACGGGUGCCAGCCGCCGCGGUAAUACCUGCAGCUCAAGUGGUGACCGUUAUUAUUGGGCCUAAAACGUCCGUAGCCGGUUUAAUAAAUGCCUGGGUAAAUCGUGUAGCUUAACUAUACGACUUCCGGGUAGACUGUUAGACUUGAGACCGGGAGAAGUUAGAGGUACUCCUGGGGUAGAGGUGAAAU
RNAcentral lists this ribosomal RNA (628 nucleotides) under uncultured archaeon. RNAcentral's name for it is "bacterial SSU rRNA". It matches the Rfam family "Archaeal small subunit ribosomal RNA", at positions 5 to 638 of the family's 1478-position model. The record is from RNAcentral.